This 439-nucleotide ribosomal RNA is filed under the name uncultured bacterium. RNAcentral's name for it is "partial 16S ribosomal RNA". It matches the Rfam family "Bacterial small subunit ribosomal RNA", at positions 339 to 795 of the family's 1533-position model. The record is from RNAcentral.
CUACGGGACGCAGCAGUGGGGAAUAUUGCACAAUGGAGGAAACUCUGAUGCAGCAACGCCGCGUGGAGGAUGACACAUUUCGGUGCGUAAACUCCUUUUAUAUGGGAAGAUAAUGACGGUACCAUAUGAAUAAGCACCGGCUAACUCCGUGCCAGCAGCCGCGGUAAUACGGAGGGUGCAAGCGUUACUCGGAAUCACUGGGCGUAAAGCGCGCGCAGGCGGCCUUGUAAGUUGGAUGUGAAAGCCUACGGCUCAACCGUAGAACUGCAUCCAAAACUACUCGGCUAGAGUGUGGGAGGGGAAGAUGGAAUUAGUUGUGUAGGGGUAAAAUCCGUAGAGAUAACUAGGAAUACCAAAAGCGAAGGCAAUCUUCUGGAACACUACUGACGCUGAGGCGCGAAAGCGUGGGGAGCAAACAGGAUUAGAUACCCUAGUAGUC